GACGAACGCCGGCGGCGUGCCUAAUACAUGCAAGUAGAACGCAGUUGCGAACGGGUGAGUAACGCGUAGGUAACUUCCUCAUAGCGGGGGAUAACUAUUGGAAACGAUAGCUAAUACCGCAUACUGUGAGAUGGACCUGCGUUGUAUUGGCUAGUUGGUGAGGUAAAGGCGCACCAAGGCGACGAAACAUAGCCGCCCUGAGAGGGGGAGAGGCAACACUGGGAAUGAGAAACGGCCCAGAAUCCUAAGGGAGGAAGCAAUAGGGAAUCUUAGGACAUGGACGGAGGUCUGACCGAGCAAAGACGCGGGAGUGAAGAAGGUUUUCGGAUCGUAAAGCUCUGUUGUUAGAGAAGCGGUAACUAACAAGAAAGGGACGGCUAACUACGUGCCAGCCGCCGCGGUAAUUC
This 407-nucleotide ribosomal RNA is filed under the name uncultured bacterium. Its description in RNAcentral is "partial 16S ribosomal RNA". It matches the Rfam family "Bacterial small subunit ribosomal RNA", at positions 28 to 526 of the family's 1533-position model. The record is from RNAcentral.